RNAcentral lists this ribosomal RNA (254 nucleotides) under uncultured bacterium. RNAcentral describes it as "partial 16S ribosomal RNA". It matches the Rfam family "Bacterial small subunit ribosomal RNA", at positions 524 to 776 of the family's 1533-position model. The record is from RNAcentral.
UACGAAGGGGGCUAGCGUUGCUCGGAAUCACUGGGCGUAAAGCGCACGUAGGCGGAUUGCUAAGUCAGGGGUGAAAUCCUGGAGCUCAACUCCAGAACUGCCUUUGAUACUGGCGAUCUCGAGUCCGGGAGAGGUGAGUGGAACUGCGAGUGUAGAGGUGAAAUUCGUAGAUAUUCGCAAGAACACCAGUGGCGAAGGCGGCUCACUGGCCCGAUACUGACGCUGAGGCACGAAAGCGUGGGGGAGCAAACAGG